GUGGGGAAUAUUGGACAAUGGGGGGAACCCUGAUCCAGCCAUGCCGCGUGUGUGAAGAAGGCCUUUUGGUUGUAAAGCACUUUAAGCGAGGAGGAGGCUACCGAGAUUAAUACUCUUGGAUAGUGGACGUUACUCGCAGAAUAAGCACCGGCUAACUCUGUGCCAGCAGCCGCGGUAAUACAGAGGGUGCAAGCGUUAAUCGGAUUUACUGGGCGUAAAGCGCGCGUAGGUGGCCAAUUAAGUCAAAUGUGAAAUCCCCGAGCUUAACUUGGGAAUUGCAUUCGAUACUGGUUGGCUAGAGUAUGGGAGAGGAUGGUAGAAUUCCGGGUGUAGCGGUGAAAUGCGUAGAGAUCUGGAGGAAUACCGAUGGCGAAGGCAGCCAUCUGGCCUAAUACUGACACUGAGGUGCGAAAGCAUGGGGAGCAAACAGGAUUAGAAACCCCUGUAGUCC
Molecule: ribosomal RNA, 451 nt
Filed under: uncultured bacterium
Lineage: Bacteria
Description: partial 16S ribosomal RNA
Rfam family: Bacterial small subunit ribosomal RNA
Source: RNAcentral